Bombyx mori (domestic silkworm) is the source of this 370-nucleotide long non-coding RNA. RefSeq lists it as uncharacterized. NCBI's taxonomy places the organism in Eukaryota, Metazoa, Arthropoda, Insecta, Lepidoptera, Bombycidae. The record is from RefSeq and is a predicted model, not a curated record. The transcript is spliced from 2 exons.
GAAAAGCAGAAGAUAUUGAUUUGCGCGGUACUCUUCCGCGAAAGAACUCCCGAUUUUAUUGGUGUGCAGGCUUGAAACGCUGCGCCGUAUUCUUGGCUUACUUGGCUUGGCUUUUGUAGUCGUCGUGGCCUAAAGGAUAAGACGUCCGGUGCAUUCGUAUUUAGCUAUGCAACGGUGAGCGAAUCCCGCAGGUGCUUACCAAAAUCUAUUCUGUAAUGUUUCAAGACUUCGUUCAAGGGCUUAGGUACGGAUCUACAAGUUAUUGUGAUUACGUUUUUGUCUAAAUCUGUAUAUUAACAGUGAUAAAUUACGACCAGCCAGUAAGGCGACAGAAUAUUGUUUUUGUUUAUAAAGUUCCAAAAACCAAACA